AGUGAACGCUGGCGGUAGGCCUAACACAUGCAAGUCGAACGGCAGCACAGUAAGAGCUUGCUCUUACGGGUGGCGAGUGGCGGACGGGUGAGGAAUACAUCGGAAUCUACUUUUUCGUGGGGGAUAACGUAGGGAAACUUACGCUAAUACCGCAUACGACCUACGGGUGAAAGCAGUGGAACUUCGCACCUUGCGCGAUUGAAUGCGCCGAUGUCGGAUAGCUAGUUGGCGGGGUAAAGGCCCACCAAGGCGACGAUCCGUAGCUGGUCUGAGAGGAUGAUCAGCCACACUGGAACUGAGCCACGGUCCAGACUCCUACGGGAGGCAGCAGUGUGGAAUAUUAGACAAUGGGCGCAAGCCUGAUCCAGCCAUACCGCGUGGGUGAAGAAGGCCUUCGGGUUGUAAAGCCCUUUUGUUGGGAAAGAAAAGCAGCAGGUUAAUACCCCGCUGUUCUGACGGUACCCAAAGAAUAAGCACCGGCUAACUUCGUG
This 491-nucleotide ribosomal RNA is filed under the name uncultured bacterium. RNAcentral describes it as "partial 16S ribosomal RNA". It matches the Rfam family "Bacterial small subunit ribosomal RNA", at positions 29 to 507 of the family's 1533-position model. The record is from RNAcentral.